RNAcentral lists this long non-coding RNA (585 nucleotides) under Fukomys damarensis (Damara mole-rat). Its description in RNAcentral is "lncRNA (ENSFDAG00000033135.1)". The record is from RNAcentral. Lineage: Eukaryota; Metazoa; Chordata; Mammalia; Rodentia; Bathyergidae.
UCUCCUGUAGCUUUCAGCCAAUGGCAAGACAAAAACAAUAACUGAGCAAUACAUAAAUGGAUAGGCAGAUAGUCACUAUCAGGUAGUGGUAAGAGCUAGGGAGAGAAACAGAAUGGCCAUGGGAGAGACAAAAUAUACUCUGGACAGGAUAGCCAGGCCUGGACUCCUAUGAGGAAAUAAUAUCCCUAUGACAGCAACAGGGUCACACCCUAUUCACCCCAUUCCCCAAAUCAGUCAUCCAGUCUUACUCUCUCCCGAUCUUUAAAGUGACAGGCAAUAUCCGUGAAGGUCUUGUAUAAAGUCCCAAACUAGUGACUCUUACCAAGGGUGACUUUGCUCUGUGCAGUGACUCUGUGGCCCUGGAUCUAUUCAUCUGUGGUUCUACUAUCUCCAAUGUGUAGAGUCUAAAGCCAUUACCCAGGCCUGCAUCAGGGGGGAGAGAUUUCCAAGUCUUAUUCCAUCAAACAGCCAAAAGACUUUCUGUCUGCUUCUCUCUCUGUAUCUUCUCCAACCUCUCUAUCUUCUCCCCUAUCAUUUCUGGCCCCUCUGUUUCUACAAAGAAGGCAGGGACAGAUCAAUGCAGAC